Small nuclear RNA from Crocodylus porosus (Australian saltwater crocodile), 186 nucleotides. Its record names the gene U1. It matches the Rfam family "U1 spliceosomal RNA". Rfam says of the family: U1 is a small nuclear RNA (snRNA) component of the spliceosome (involved in pre-mRNA splicing). Lineage: Eukaryota; Metazoa; Chordata; Crocodylia; Crocodylidae. The record is from Ensembl.
UUACUUACCUGGCAGGGGAGAUACCCUUCUUCUCAGCUUUGAAUGACUUGGUAUAGUUAGAAGGUGGAGAUCUGUCCAUUGCACUACAGGCAAGUACCCCUGCAAGAGUCUACAAAUGGCUCCAAAUGUGAGAGUCUCAGCUACACAAUUUAUGGUAAUGGGGGAUUGCUCUUGGACUUUCCCUCU